RNAcentral lists this ribosomal RNA (254 nucleotides) under uncultured bacterium. Its description in RNAcentral is "partial 16S ribosomal RNA". It matches the Rfam family "Bacterial small subunit ribosomal RNA", at positions 524 to 776 of the family's 1533-position model. The record is from RNAcentral.
UACGGAGGGGGCAAGCGUUGUUCGGAAUUACUGGGCGUAAAGGGCGCGCAGGCGGCUGCUCAAGUCAGGCGUGAAAGGCCUGGGCUCAACCCGGGAAUUGCGCUUGAGACUGGGCUGGCUUGAGUGCGGGAGAGGAUGGUGGAAUUCCCAGUGUAGAGGUGAAAUUCGUAGAUAUCAGGAAGAACACCCGUGGCGAAGGCGGCUCUCUGGAACGCAACUGACGCUGAGACGCGAAAGCGUGGGGAGCAAACAGG